This 253-nucleotide ribosomal RNA is filed under the name uncultured bacterium. Its description in RNAcentral is "partial small subunit ribosomal RNA". It matches the Rfam family "Bacterial small subunit ribosomal RNA", at positions 26 to 285 of the family's 1533-position model. The record is from RNAcentral.
AGGACGAACGCUGGCGGCGUGCUUAACACAUGCAAGUCGAGCGGAAAGGCCCUUCGGGGUACUCGAGCGGCGAACGGGUGAGUAACACGUGAGCAACCUGCCCUUAGCUUCGGGAUAGCUCCGGGAAACCGGAAUUAAUACCGAAUAUGACUUUGGCUGACAUCAGCAGAAGUGGAAAGUUUUCGGCUAGGGAUGGACUCGCGGCCUAUCAGCUAGUUGGUGAGGUAACGGCCCACCAAGGCGACGACGGGUA